CUGGUUGAUCCUGCCAGUAGUCAUAUGCUUGUCUCAAAGAUUAAGCCAUGCAUGUGUAAGUGCAAGCCGAACUAAGGCGAAACCGCGAAAGGCUCAUUACAUCAGUUGUGGUUCCUUGGACUGUACCCAGUUACUUGGAUAACUGCGGAAAAUCUGGAGCUAAUAUAUGCCGACAGAGUCCCGACCAGAGAUGGGAGGGACGCUUUUAUUAGAUCAAAACCAAAUCUUCCCCUCGUGGGAAAACGACUCAAGGUGACUCUGAAUAACUUUGUGCCGAUCGCACGGCCCUCGCGCCGGCGACGCGUCUUUCAAAUGUCUGCCUUAUCAACUUUCGAUGGUAGGCUCUGCGCCUACCAUGGUUGUAACGGGUGACGGGGAAUCAGGGUUCGAUUCCGGAGAGGGAGCCUGAGAAACGGCUACCACAUCCAAGGAAGGCAGCAGGCGCGCAAAUUACCCACUCCCGGCUCGGGGAGGUAGUGACGAAAGAUAACGAUGCAGGACUCUUAUGAGGCCCUGUAAUCGGAAUGACUACAUUUUAAAUCUCUUAAGGAGUAUCAAUUGGAGGGCAAGUCUGGUGCCAGCAGCCGCGG
This 590-nucleotide ribosomal RNA is filed under the name Elaphrothrips tuberculatus. RNAcentral's name for it is "SSU rRNA". It matches the Rfam family "Eukaryotic small subunit ribosomal RNA", at positions 4 to 579 of the family's 1831-position model. The record is from RNAcentral. Lineage: Eukaryota; Metazoa; Arthropoda; Insecta; Thysanoptera; Phlaeothripidae.